This is a long non-coding RNA of Columba livia (rock pigeon), 721 nucleotides long. RefSeq lists it as uncharacterized. NCBI's taxonomy places the organism in Eukaryota, Metazoa, Chordata, Aves, Columbiformes, Columbidae. The record is from RefSeq and is a predicted model, not a curated record. The transcript has 5 exons.
AACAAAAUGAAAAACAGUGCCAUUGAGGAGCAUCGGCAUCACACCCCCAUGAGCAGCUGUAGUUCUCAGCCCUGCAUUCCCAUUCUUGUGUGUCUCUGCUUUGGAAUGGUUACAGGCAGUGCCAGCAACACCAGGGAAAGGUAACCUGAAAUGAUGAAGUCCAAUUGACUGGGAGCAUCCAGGAGCUGGAACAUACUCUCACAUAAAAUCGCUGGGUGUUGAUAAGUUUGGUGAGGCACUGGAACAGGUUGCCCAGAGAAGCUGUGAAUGCCCCAUUGCUGGAAGUGUUCAAGGGAUUACUGCAGCAGUUAGCUCUACCCAAGACUUUCUGCCUGGAUCUGGGGGAAGAAUUAAGGUGUGAAAAAGGGGAAAGAUUUCAGGGUUGCUGAUUUCUAUGCUAGACUGGUGAACUAUGGAUAACAAAUGAGACAGGUGGAACUUCAAAAGAAGCUAGCCCUGCGACCUGAUGACCUGUCGUUCUGUACUUGCCAAGAAAGAAGAAGUGGAACCUGCAGACCACUGGAACGGAAGGAACCUGAGGAUAUCGACAGUGAUAGAUAUCGACAGUGAUAGACAGUGAUAGAUUUUGUUUAGUUGCAUAAUAUCUGUUAGAACCCUAUAUAAUGACUAGUUAUACUGCUGUAUGAUUGUCACUCUCUGAGGAGGUGACCCAACGCUGCUGUUCCUGUGAAUCUUCUACAAUAAAUACUGCUCAGAGUAA